This 4074-nucleotide unclassified non-coding RNA is filed under the name Hevea brasiliensis (rubber tree). The record is from RNAcentral. Lineage: Eukaryota; Viridiplantae; Streptophyta; Magnoliopsida; Malpighiales; Euphorbiaceae.
GGAUUUUCACUUAAAUUAUGGUCAAGAACCAGUUAAAUUUUACCGAAGUAGCAAAAUUCUAUUGUGUGCAGAUUGAUGUAAGAUGCAGUCAAAAGCUUCUUAUGAACAGCUCCAGAAGAUUUCAACAGAGUUUUCAUUUCAAGAGUGGCUUUCAUUGGUGCCCAAAACCAGCAAUGAAAUUGAAUCUGGUGCUUGACAGAUUCAAUCUGAAAACAAUCAGCACAAUGAGUAGGUAAAGUGAAUUUUAUUGUAUAUCUUUGUUUCCAAUGAGGUUUGGUUCUGAUCCAAACAUUCCUCAGUUUUUCUCAGUUCAAAUCUUCCUGCAAUUUCUCUGUUUUUCUUGUGAAUUUUGCUGCUAAUGUUGUGUCUCUAUUAAUGAAUUAACGGUUUAGCUGAAAGUAGGGAAGAAUUGUGCAACAUUCAAAAGUAUAGGAUUUAAUUGGUAAUUUGUAAAGUAUAGGUAUAAUUGAAAAAAUUUUGAAAGUACAGGUUUUUUGGGUAAUUUCCCAAAAAAAAAAACUUUUUGUGAAGAGAAAUGCCUCUCAACAUUCAUAGGAAGUAACCUGCUUCUUGAAAGAGUUUCAACAAUAAUUUGUACACAAUUUAAUUGCAGGAGGAAGUAAUGGCAAUGAAGCCUACUUCUGUUUUUGCUUCCCAGGGAACUCCCACCCCCAUUGGAAUCACCUGAUUUCUUUUCUUGCUAGAGAGCACGAUCGAGUAGUUAUUUGGACGCUAAAAAUAUCAGAAUAGAAGUCCCGAUUCCAAUCCGUUUGUUUACCAUCAAUUCCUGCAGAAAUUAACUCAAUAGGGUAGUCUUUGCAGAGAAGCCUGAUUCAUGUAUAAUUAAAACAAAGGGAAGUGCACCUUCUUGGUUCCCUUCAUAAUUCUUGCAAUUGAACUCUUCAUAAACUCACAUGAGGUAGAAUGAUCUACAAUUUCAAUCUUAGAGCAGAGUAAGGAUAAUGAUUCAGCAUGCACGUUAGGAAUGAUUCAAUGACCAGAAUGUCCAUUUGCAUGCAUGAACAUGUCCACAAUCCCCUGCAAUGAAGGAGAAAACAGUAAUUAGCUAGCAUUCAUGAAGUAGUGCUGCCUAAGUUUGGUUCUUAAAAGUCAUCGAUUAAUAAUUAUUGUUACUAAAUUUCCCCAAACAUUUCAUGAGAAUGCAAUCUUCUCAAAAAGAAUACUGUCACCAGCCAAAAAUAUUUGCCUUUGAUUUGUGGUUAUAAUAUUUAGACAAAGACUGAACUAAUACUUGCUGAGUUCAUUUAAUGGCUGGGAUUGAACUUAAUCCAUCUUUUUGGUGAAAUUCAUAGAAGGAAGAACCCAGCUUCCCCCUCUUUUGUAAACCAAUAUAUCAGAUGUGAUUCAGUGUUCUUGCACUUGUUCAUGCUUGCACAUGAACAUGUUAAAUCUAAGCCUUCCCGGAAUAUAAGAAAAAAUUUCUUGAACAGAAUACUCACGUUCAUAAUUUCUUUUUACCUACCUUUCCAUGAACCCCAAGAAUGGUCCCCUACUCUUUAGAAAAUUAUACAGUUAUAUUAUGAGGGAAGCAAUUAAUGCUUCUUGUCUAAAUGUUAACUAGUGUAGAUGUAUAGUAAAUGAAGCGUGACAUAUUAGCUAACCUAAUCUUGCGGUUCCUAGAAGGUUCUACUGGUUUCUGAGACACAAGUGAAAUUUCUGGAAGAAUGGGAAAAUAUGUUGGGAUGCCUAGAAAAUACAGGAAAGAAAUUGAAUUAAUGCUAAAUAUUUAAAGUGAUAAUUAGUUUAAGUGAGGUUAAAUUUGUUUCUUUUCAUACUUCUCUCACAAGCAAACAGCCAAAGGCAGUUAUAAUCCAUGGAUUGAGGAUUCAAAGAGGAUCGAAAAUAUUGCUUUCCCAAGGCAAGACACAUUUUAUACACAUCACAAAUCUGGUUUCUGAGAAUAAAUAUUACAAGAUUGCAUUGCCACUGCUUGACUAACACUGUUCCUCUCAUUGCUUCUGGUUGAUCUUUCUUUGGUCCUUAAACACCAGCUGCCUUACCUAGUCUCUUUCUUAAAAUCUUCAGUCCCAUGUACCUGCCCAUCAUCAAGACAGUGCCUUGAGGGUUAGUGCCAGGGGAUUCAUCAAAUGUGGAGCCAUCGACAAUUCGAAGCCUUUGAAUACCAAUAACUCUGUAGCCAGGUGUCACUACCUUGCCUACGUGACACCCACCAUGAUAGUGCCAGAUUGUGAUCACAGUAUCUUUGCAGAACUGCUUUAGGGAAUUAGUGUCAUUGGGAUGCUUGGGUACAAGGUUCACAUUAGCAGCAACACUCAUGUUAAGAAUCUUCUCCACAGUCUGGUUGUCACAUUGUGUGAAGUUUGUGAAGUAUUCUGAUUGAACAACCUUUGUAGCCAUCCUGAUCCCAUGAACGCAGCGGUGCAAAUCUUUUGGAUGUUUGAAAUAGUUGAAGGUGACAGAAGGGUUAUCAUCAACAUUUGUGUUGAUCAAGCUGAGAUGCCCAGUUGAAAUGGGCCUGGCAAGCUUUUCAAGAAUGAAGCCUCCCUUGAAUGCUUCAUGAGGCAGGUCCUUCUUUCUUUUAAUGUAGGCUUGAAUGGCCUCCGGUGUUCUUUGCUUUGGAGGAAUGGUAGAUACCUGCCCUAUCUCUGCAGACAUCAUUCCAUGAUGAAAAUGAAUGCUAUCAUUGGACUGCCCAAAUCCACUGCUAGCUUCAAUAUAAACACCAAACUUUGUAAUCCCAACAGUUCGUAUUAAUGACUGCUGAACUGGUCUUUUAGAUGGAACAAAAAUAGUGUUCAAAGGAUUAUCAGCCAUGCCUUUCCCAACAAAUUCAUUGUCAAGAACUAGUGGAAUUCUCAUCCUUUUAAGUUCAGCUCUUGGGCCAAUGCCACUUAGCAGCAGCAUCUGAGGUGUGCCAAUGGCUCCACAGGACAAUAUUACUUCACUCCUAGGAUUAUUUACAAGAAAUGCUUGGUGUUGGUUACCAUUUUCAUCUUUGAAUAUGACUCCCAUUGCCUUUGGACUCUUCCCUGUAUCAGCCCAUUGUUCAGUAUAUAGUCAUUCUAUUUUAUCAGUACAGAAAAAGAAUUACUCAGUUUAGUUACUAUGCAUGACUCAUUAUUUAACAUACCUGAUGUAUCAAAUAGAACCUUUUGGACUGUGGCAUGUACCAAGACAGUAAGCAUCUGUGGGUUCCCGGAUAGAAGCAGUUCCGCUGCGGUGUGCCGGCGGCCGAACUGGUCAAAGAUUGUGCCACCAAUCUUGGUUCCAUAGACGUGAUCAUAAGUGAAUCCAUUAAAAGGUGACACCCCAAUAUCCAAUAAACUGUCCCUCAGAGCGACCUGCCAUGGGGCAACCUUAGGGCUGUGAACAAUUUGCUUCUCAACCCAGGGAUAUGACUCAUUCACCAAUUUUUCAUCCCAUCCUACUUUCUUUAUAAACCUUGUACUUGCCCUUGUGUAGAACCCAGCAUUGAUGCUAGUACCACCACCCAAAACCCUACCCCUAGAAUUGAGGACUCCAUCAGUGGAAAUGAAGUAUUGGGAAGCAGAAGUUGGAGAAGUAUCAGCCAGAGUCAUAUGGAAGUUGCUUAAGUAUGAGAUAUUUGGAUUGGCGAAAGGAACACCACCUCUUUCAAGCAAUAACACACUGAAAUUUUGGGACAAUGUGGCAGCUAAGGGACACCCAGCUGUUCCCCCCCCAACUACUAUAUAGUCAUAAGCAUUCUCUCCACCAAUUGAUGAGAAUGAUGAUGAUUUGGUGGAGAAAGUGCUUGCUUUCUUGAUAAACGGGUACCCAAAUGGAUAGAAAUUCUGCUUCCCUUGACAAGAAGAGAGAGUGUAAACCCAUAAAACCAAGCAAAGAAGAAAGAGCUUCACUGCCCCAGCAGAAGCCAUUGAAGGCAGACAAAGGCCACUUGAACACUCAAAGGAGAAGCUGCUUUCUUUCCACCUCUAUGUGGCUGCCUCUGUAUGGUCUUGUUUUGUGUGUUUUACACACUUAUAUAUACUUCACUUACAGAGUGCAGAACCAAAGACGGAAGGGUUCAUUAAUGGUGGUUGGAUGAGAAAUGACAAUAAAUGGCCGUUGGAU